This is a non-coding RNA of Xyrichtys novacula (pearly razorfish), 1396 nucleotides long. The record is from the annotation of a GenBank genome assembly. NCBI's taxonomy places the organism in Eukaryota, Metazoa, Chordata, Actinopteri, Labriformes, Labridae.
GGGGAGGCGGUCGCGCUGGGGGCGGCGUGACACGGCUCGAGCCCGCCAGUGCCCCAACGGGGCCCUAGUUUCUUCUUUUUCCUCCCCUUUGAACUGGAAAAUGGCCCACUUCCCACUGGCAAAAACUCAUGAAAUUUGGCAGGACGACCGGGCCUCGUGAAAAAUUUGAUAUUCUGAAGUCGUCCAGGCAAUAAAAUGCAAAAUGGCUCCAUAGCGCCCCCUAAGGUGUAAAUUCACACUAUUGACUGUCACGCCUGUACGCUUUGUCAUAUUGACACCAAAAUUGACACACAUAUGUAUCUCAAUAAGAUCUACAAAAAAGUCAGUGCGGGCGUAUUUGUCAAAUGUAUGGUUAAAGGGUUAUUUCGCAUUUUUUGCUGAUCCGCAAACAUUGGAAUUUCGCUAACUCCUCUGAAGGCUUUCGUUCCACCGGCACCACAUUUGCUCAGGCCAAUCUACACCCCAUGGCCAUUAAAAGUUAUUCAAAUCAUGACGCUGCACCCCACGGUUUAGGUUCUAGGGGGCGCCAAAAAUAACCCUAAAAUCCACAUAUUUAAAAGUCUUAUAACUUUUUCUUUUUGUCCUCACUGGCCUCCAAGUUUUCUAGGAUGAUGCAAUGUCCAGCCAUCAACACAUUUGUGAAGGAAUUUUUACUUCCCAAAAGAGCGCCCCCCCAUGGCAGGAGAAAAAAGUCCAUUUUUUCUUGUCCACUAAGGUGAAAAUACACAUUGUUGAGUGUCACGCCUGUAUGCUUUGUCAAAAUGACACAAAAAUUGACACACACAUGUAUCUCAAUAAGAUCUACAAAAAAGUCAAUGAGCGCGUAUCUGUCAAAUGUACGAUUAAAGGGUUAUUCCGCAUUUUUUGCUGAUCCGCACACAUUGGAAUGUGGCUAACUCCUCCGAAGGCUUGAGUUCCACCGGCACAACAUUUGCUCAGGCCAAUCUACACCCCAUGGCCAUUAAAAGUUAUUCAAAUCAUGACGCUGCACCCCACGGUUUACGUUCUAGGGGGCGCCAAAGAUGACCCAAAUAUCCACAUUUUUUGAAGUCUUUUCACUUUUUAUUGUUGUCCCCACUGGCCUCCAAGUUUUCUAGGAUGAUGCAAUGUCCAGCCAUCAACACAUUUGUGAAGGAAUUUUUACUCCCCAAAAGAGCGCCCCCCAUGGCAGGAGAAAAAAGUCAAUUUUUUCUUGUCCACUAAGGUGAAAAUACACAUUGUUGAGUGCUACGCCUGUAUGCUUUGUUGUAUUGACACAAAAUUUGACAUACACGUGUAUUUCAAUAAGAUCUACGAAAAAGUUAAUGGGCACGUAUCUGUAAAAUGUACGGUUAAAGGGCAAUUUUGCAGUUUUUGGCGAUUUGCACACAUUGGAAUUUCGCUAACUCCUCUGAAG